Molecule: long non-coding RNA, 741 nt
Filed under: Anser brachyrhynchus (Pink-footed goose)
Lineage: Eukaryota; Metazoa; Chordata; Aves; Anseriformes; Anatidae
Description: lncRNA (ENSABRG00000022648.1)
Source: RNAcentral
UACCACCUCUGUGAAGUGCUCUAUCUUUCCAUGCUAUAUGUGCUUAUAAAACUCGUCAUCUCUUCUCAUCAGCAGAUGGACAACCUCUGCCAUCUGCUUUUUACUUCAUGGCUAUAGUCUGAAGAGUUACCAGGAUAUACAAAAAAUGGAUUGACCUAAAAAGUGAGGGGUCUCCUGACUUUUCCAGUGGUGUGAGUUACAGAAAAAAAUCCCUCUGAUGUUCAAGACCAUGAGACACAUGGUGAGUACCUCCAAGGGCUGGGCACAAACAGGAAGGCAGGUCCUGAAAAGCUUACAGACAGGGCAUUAUGUACCUUCUCAGAGGAUGCCAUGGUUGAUGGGGCUAGGGAUAGGCUUGGCUUGCCUUGGGUGGCAUCGGGCCCUCAAGCUCCUUCUGUCUCAUGGCAUUACAGGACUUGGCAACCCGCUGCCUUUGGCCAUGUGCUGGCUCUGCUGCUACAUCUGAACUGCCCAUUUGAAGGAGAAUCUGUAGAACCUGUGGCCACUGGAAGACACCUGAGGCUUUUGGGCCUGGGUGGUCAGGUGAAGGAGAGAAGGCUAAUAGAACAAAAGAUGUAUCUUGGGCACCCAGGUUCUUCAGUACAGCUCUGCACCACAGGAUGUUCUUCAAGUCUGAGCUACAGCCAACAUCUGUGGACAACACUCUUUGUUCCUAUGUAUCCUUUUACAUGCAUUUCUUCCUUGCUUCCCAGCUUUUCAAGUGACCAAGCCUUGCAGUGA